This is a non-coding RNA of Otolemur garnettii (small-eared galago), 46 nucleotides long. Lineage: Eukaryota; Metazoa; Chordata; Mammalia; Primates; Galagidae. The record is from Rfam.
CCAAAGGCUCUUUUCAGAGCCACCCACGUGGGUAUCCAAAAGAUCU